UGGGGAAUUUUGGACAAUGGGCGAAAGCCUGAUCCAGCCAUGCCGCGUGCGGGAAGAAGGCCUUCGGGUUGUAAACCGCUUUUGUCAGGGAAGAAACGAGUUUCUCUAAUACAGAGACUUAAUGACGGUACCUGAAGAAUAAGCACCGGCUAACUACGUGCCAGCAGCCGCGGUAAUACGUAGGGUGCCAGCGUUAAUCGGAAUUACUGGGCGUAAAGCGUGCGCAGGCGGUUAUGCAAGACAGAUGUGAAAUCCCCGGGCCCAACCUGGGAACUGCAUUUGUGACUGCAUAGCUGGAGUGCGGCAGAGGGGGAUGGAAUUCCGCGUGUAGCAGUGAAAUGCGUAGAUAUGCGGAGGAACACCGAUGGCGAAGGCAAUCCCCUGGGCCUGCACUGACGCUCAUGCACGAAAGCGUGGGGAGCAAACA
RNAcentral lists this ribosomal RNA (427 nucleotides) under uncultured bacterium. RNAcentral describes it as "bacterial SSU rRNA". It matches the Rfam family "Bacterial small subunit ribosomal RNA", at positions 355 to 774 of the family's 1533-position model. The record is from RNAcentral.